This 593-nucleotide ribosomal RNA is filed under the name uncultured organism. RNAcentral describes it as "bacterial SSU rRNA". It matches the Rfam family "Bacterial small subunit ribosomal RNA", at positions 1 to 594 of the family's 1533-position model. The record is from RNAcentral.
UUAGAGUUUGAUCCUGGCUCAGGAUGAACGCUAGCGGCAGGCUUAACACAUGCAAGUCGAGGGGUAACAGGUCACUUCGGUGAUGCUGACGACCGGCGCACGGGUGAGUAACGCGUAUGGAACCUACCUGAAACAGGGGGAUAGCUUCCGGAAACGGGGAUUAAUACCCCAUACGAUUCAUUUGUGGCCUCACAAAUGGAUAAAAGCUACGGCGGUUUCAGAUGGUCAUGCGUACCAUUAGUUAGUUGGUGAGGUAAAGGCUCACCAAGGCGAUGAUGGUUAGGGGUCCUGAGAGGGUAGUCCCCCACACUGGUACUGAGACACGGACCAGACUCCUACGGGAGGCAGCAGUGAGGAAUAUUGGUCAAUGGGCGCUAGCCUGAGCCAGCCAUGCCGCGUGCAGGAAGACGGCCCUACGGGUUGUAAACUGCUUUUCUGCAGGAAGAAUAUAUAGUCUUAGGGCUAUAUUGACGGUACUACAGGAAUAAGCAUCGGCUAACUCCGUGCCAGCAGCCGCGGUAAUACGGAGGAUGCAAGCGUUAUCCGGAUUCAUUGGGUUUAAAGGGUGCGCAGGCUGUAAAGCAAGUCAGUGG